UGAAGGUCCCCCACAUUGGAACUGAGACACGGUCCAAACUCCUACGGGAGGCAGCAGUGAGGAAUAUUGGUCAAUGGGCGCAGGCCUGAACCAGCCAAGUAGCGUGAAGGAUGACUGCCCUAUGGGUUGUAAACUUCUUUUAUAAAGGAAUAAAGUCGGGUAUGUAUACCCGUUUGCAUGUACUUUAUGAAUAAGGAUCGGCUAACUCCGUGCCAGCAGCCGCGGUAAUACGGAGGAUCCGAGCGUUAUCCGGAUUUAUUGGGUUUAAAGGGAGCGUAGAUGGAUGUUUAAGUCAGUUGUGAAAGUUUGCGGCUCAACCGUAAAAUUGCAGUUGAUACUGGAUAUCUUGAGUGCAGUUGAGGCAGGCGGAAUUCGUGGUGUAGCGGUGAAAUGCUUAGAUAUCACGAAGAA
RNAcentral lists this ribosomal RNA (411 nucleotides) under uncultured Bacteroides sp. RNAcentral's name for it is "bacterial SSU rRNA". It matches the Rfam family "Bacterial small subunit ribosomal RNA", at positions 298 to 706 of the family's 1533-position model. Lineage: Bacteria; Pseudomonadati; Bacteroidota; Bacteroidia; Bacteroidales; Bacteroidaceae. The record is from RNAcentral.